This is a non-coding RNA of Paramuricea clavata, 236 nucleotides long. The record is from the annotation of a GenBank genome assembly. NCBI's taxonomy places the organism in Eukaryota, Metazoa, Cnidaria, Anthozoa, Malacalcyonacea, Plexauridae.
AUGGUAACCUUGUCCGCAAAACGGGCGAAAGUCAUAGUUUGCAUCAAAUAUAGAAAGAAAGCUAUCGCCAUUAAGCCGUAUUAUUUACGACCAGCGGGAGUCCGCAUUGUCGAUUAUAAUUAGUUGCGCAAGACGCAAGUCAAUACAAAUGCAACAAUUUCAUGUUGUAUUUCAUAUUAUAAAGUUGUACUUUCAUAUUUUGUUGAUAAGAAAUAAUCAAGACGAUGUUUGUGUAC